UGAUUCUGAUGAUAAUGAUUAUGACCCUGAUGGACCAGAAAUUGAUGAGAAGAGUCAGGGAGAUGAAUCAAGCUCUGAUGAAUCUGACUUCACUUCUGUGUCUGAUGAAUUAGAGGCUUCACCUGGUGAUAAGCAGAACUUGGGGCUUCCCUCUGAUGAUUCAGAAGAUGAUGACUAUGAUCCUGAUUGUCCAGAUCUUGAUGAGAAUGUGAAGGAGGAGAGUUCAAGUUCUGAUUUUACAUCUGACUCUGACGAUCUUGCUACUAGUCUUCAUAAUAAAGAAUUGUCUGGAGAACAUGAAAACCGUGUGUCUAUUGGCCCCCAAGGAGAUAUUAUUAGAGAAGGAUCUAAACAUAGUGGAAAAAAGAAGCAAUACAGUGAGCUGUUAUCCAUAUUAGAG
Molecule: unclassified non-coding RNA, 400 nt
Filed under: Hevea brasiliensis (rubber tree)
Lineage: Eukaryota; Viridiplantae; Streptophyta; Magnoliopsida; Malpighiales; Euphorbiaceae
Source: RNAcentral